This 23-nucleotide non-coding RNA is filed under the name Arabidopsis thaliana (thale cress). The record is from RNAcentral. Lineage: Eukaryota; Viridiplantae; Streptophyta; Magnoliopsida; Brassicales; Brassicaceae.
UAAGAACUAGAACCACAACCGGA